RNAcentral lists this transfer RNA (70 nucleotides) under Ictidomys tridecemlineatus (thirteen-lined ground squirrel). RNAcentral's name for it is "Spermophilus tridecemlineatus (thirteen-lined ground squirrel) tRNA". It matches the Rfam family "tRNA". Rfam says of the family: Transfer RNA (tRNA) molecules are approximately 80 nucleotides in length. Their secondary structure includes four short double-helical elements and three loops (D, anti-codon, and T loops). Lineage: Eukaryota; Metazoa; Chordata; Mammalia; Rodentia; Sciuridae. The record is from Rfam by way of RNAcentral.
GGGGUUGUGGCUCAGUGGUAGAGCACUCGCUUAGCAUGCAUGAGGCACUGGGUUCGAUCCCCAGCUCCCA